RNAcentral lists this ribosomal RNA (253 nucleotides) under uncultured bacterium. Its description in RNAcentral is "partial 16S ribosomal RNA". It matches the Rfam family "Bacterial small subunit ribosomal RNA", at positions 524 to 776 of the family's 1533-position model. The record is from RNAcentral.
UACGAAGGGGGCUAGCGUUGCUCGGAAUCACUGGGCGUAAAGGGUGCGUAGGCGGGUCUUUAAGUCAGGGGUGAAAUCCUGGAGCUCAACUCCAGAACUGCCUUUGAUACUGAAGAUCUUGAGUUCGGGAGAGGUGAGUGGAACUGCGAGUGUAGAGGUGAAAUUCGUAGAUAUUGGGAAGAACACCGGUGGCGAAGGCGGCUCACUGGCUCGUAACUGACGCUCAUGCACGACAGCGUGGGGAGCGAACAGG